Molecule: non-coding RNA, 113 nt
Organism: Fukomys damarensis (Damara mole-rat)
Lineage: Eukaryota; Metazoa; Chordata; Mammalia; Rodentia; Bathyergidae
Source: Rfam
GGUUUUGGCCAUACCACCUUGAACACGUCUGAUCUUGUCAGAUCUCAGAAGUUAAGCACAGUUGGUCCUGAGUAAUAUCUGGGUGGGAGACCAACACAUUGCUCUCUAAAUUG